UAUUAUUAAAAUUAAUCUCACCUGCUUCUUUUUACCUUUGAUCCUACCCCAAGGCCUGCCAGAAUGAAAAUAAAGAACAAAGACAACAAAGAAAACAGCCGACAGGAACAGGAUCUUGGGAGCCAAAUAUCAGGGAUCCAAGGAAGCCCGGAAGUGACCUUGAGACCACUCUCAGGAGGCCCUGUCAGAAGAGCCCCUCCCUCUCUGCAUAAAGGUAGCGCUGGUUUUAUUGUUGUUGUUACUGUUAUAUGGCUUCCCCGAAAACACCCAGACAGGUUUAAGAGCACAGCUCACCCAAAUUCCCCCAUGCAAGCCAUCUGUACCUAAUCAAGCCUCUCUGUGUUUGCUUUGAGGGAUACCUGGUUGCUUUUCCUGAAAUCCCUUCUCCAGGAAACUGGUCCCAGCUCAAAUGCCAGCUCAUUCCAGGAAGACUAAUACAGCAAGUUAUUUUUUCUAUAGAUAUUUACCUAGUGCCACAAAGCCACGUGUCAGACCUCAUCUAGGGACCAGGGCAUAGCAGUGAACAGCACUUCAUGAAGCUCCAUCCCAUUCUGCCUUUCUGGGUAUAAAUGAAGGAGUCCUCAGAGGGUGGGGUGGUGCCUGCAAGGAGGCUGCUCAGGGAGCAUGUGUUUUGACCAGUGAACAACCGGCUGGACCAAGGGGUCAGGCUCUAGUGGUGGCGUUGGACCCUGACUCAGCACUGUGUCAAAGCAAUGGCGAGAGGUCCCUGCCUGCGUGUUCAUUGGCGGCAGGGUCUGCAUGCCUCCGCCUGCUCUCAGCAAGGAGCCCACUUUCCUCUCUGGGCUCAGCUCCAGUUCUCGGGCUUUCUCCCUCCCCGUCUGCUUCUUAUCUCUGUCUCCAGUGUUUAGAAAAUGUCAUCUUCAGCAGUCAGGGCCGUGAACAGCCGUGGGAGCAAGGAGAGGCUUGCAGCAAGGGAACAGGGGUCCUACCAGGGCCUGGCUUAGAGCACAAAGCUAGUCAGAGCUGGAGGGACCCUUGGAGGCCAGCCACUCCUGCCAGACACCUGCCUGUUCCCUCCCCGACCCCCACCUCACCUUAGAGAAUUGGAGAUUUGUAGUUUUGACAGGUGGGGGAGAGAAUGAGACUCUUUCUCCAUCCCCAAACUUCCUCCCACCAGCACUAACUCAAGGGAUAUCCACUCUGUUUUACUUCAUCAGAACAAGAAGACCGAUUGGAUCUGCUUAGGAAGACAAACCUCCCAGGGGCACGCUAUUCAGUCCACUCCUGCUGGGGACAGAAGACCUUUGGGCAGCCCUGGCUCUGAGACUUGCCCUUUCUUGGGGCAGCACAGGUUUUAAAGACUAGGUGCCCUGGGGUGACAGACAGAGACCCCCAACCUGCUUUCCCUAACAUUCCAGGAGGACCCAAAUCACUGGCUCUUCCAGGCUCUUGGCCACUUUCCAGUUCCCAUGAGGAUUAAAAGGAAGAAGUGGACUUUAACUCCAGCGAUGGGACUGUGGAUGGAUUGAGGGUGGGAGUGCCCUGAGACCCAAGGAGUCCGCCAGCCGGUUAGUCAUAGAAAAACACCUCCCCCUUGGCUUAGGUGUGUACCUAGUGGAGGCAGAGCCGAGAGACAGAUGUUUUCUCCAAAUCUUUCCAGCCUUAUGACUCUUAUAAUUAGACCUGGAAAA
Homo sapiens (human) is the source of this 1652-nucleotide long non-coding RNA. RefSeq lists it as uncharacterized. Lineage: Eukaryota; Metazoa; Chordata; Mammalia; Primates; Hominidae. The record is from RefSeq and is a predicted model, not a curated record. The transcript is spliced from 2 exons.